RNAcentral lists this unclassified non-coding RNA (1052 nucleotides) under Hevea brasiliensis (rubber tree). The record is from RNAcentral. Lineage: Eukaryota; Viridiplantae; Streptophyta; Magnoliopsida; Malpighiales; Euphorbiaceae.
CUCUUUCUUUCCUCUUCUGCUCUAUCCUCGCUUGUGCACUCAGAAGAACCAAAAGUUUCAUCAUUGUAAGAGUCAUGAGUGUCCCUACGUGAGUGAGGUACUGCCUUAUAAGGACGAGGUGGGUGAUAUGGCUCAUUACUCCUAUUGAGCUGGUAGUGAUCAUUAGCUCGAAACUUUGGAGCCGAUGACCCUGCAGCAUAUCCAGAUGGUCUUGGGAAAGAACCACUUCCAAGGAGUCCAUCAUGUUCAGGAACUUGCCAGGAUCGCUGAGAUUGAUUGCCAUAACGCUUUCCAGAAUCUGAAUCCCAAUCAGAUUGUGAGUCACUGUCAUGAUCACUCCUUCCAGAGGAAGGACUAUCCCACCUUCCAUGAAUUCCCCUGGAAUAAUUGCUCAUAUCCCCUCUAGUGGGAGGCGAUGAACCAUGUUCAUUGCGUCUGUAAUUUUGCAAUGAUAAGCUGCCAGAAAUUCUGAAUCUAUCCUGUGGAGUAUCCUCAAACUCACUAAGAAUCGAUUUGUGGAAUCCACUAGGUAAAUUUUUGCAAACAUCCAAUUCACGCAACGAUAGUAGAAAAUCUCUUGUAUAAGAAAUUAACUUCUUUUCUGAUUCGCGUCUUGCUUCAGCGUGCUGAUUGAGUCCAUGUUGCUCUUCAUUUUCUAAACUCAUUUUGCUAAAUUAAUUUUAACAACCAAACACAAUAUGAUCGGUAUGGUUCCUUUGACUUCAGAACCCACUUGUCACCACACGUUAACUCAAAUACAAAAUCCAGCAUCCGCUAAACAAUACCCAUAUAUCCUGACAACAUCCAAAUAAAACCGAGCACACCUAUCACCGCCUUCAAAAAUUAUCCCUGCACAACACUGUUACUCAUUCUAAUCCCGCGUAGCAAACUGAUAAAAUUUGGCUGUUUUAGGGUAAGCAAUCCUUCAAUUAUUGCUCAGCUACAACCCUUUAAAACGCAUUCAAUCAUAAACGGCACGAAUCAAGGGGGAAAAAAAGCCAAAUACCAGCUGAUGUCAAGCUAAGUUCAUCCUCUGAUCCAGCGCAAUCGAC